GUUUUAAUAGUUUACGUAGAAUUCACCGCUGAAGGUGGUGGGGCGGGCUCAUGCCUUUAAAACA
RNAcentral lists this transfer RNA (64 nucleotides) under Pseudocardium sachalinense (Sakhalin surf clam). Its description in RNAcentral is "tRNA-Phe". The record is from RNAcentral. Lineage: Eukaryota; Metazoa; Mollusca; Bivalvia; Venerida; Mactridae.